Non-coding RNA from Cinara cedri, 488 nucleotides. Lineage: Eukaryota; Metazoa; Arthropoda; Insecta; Hemiptera; Aphididae. The record is from the annotation of a GenBank genome assembly.
GCCGAUAUGAUUUGUGGAAUUAUUAUAAGUUUCUGACUAUAUUUGUGACACAAUUUUAAUUAUAAUACUUAUGAUAAAUUUGAUUAUAAAAAAUAAAAAUAAAAGAAGUUUUGGUGAUCAAUGACUAUGACUACUGUAAUUUAGAUGGGUAGAAAAAGAUUCAACAGAUACGAAAAUUGUAACUUUUUCAUUUUGUCGUCGGAAACGAUAGUUGGCAUAAACAAAAAUACAAUUUGUAUCGGUAGUGAUGAUCCCUUCCCCACCAGUAUGUAGGCACGUAUCGUUUAUCAGUAUUUAGUAUAUCAGUUUCAUAUUUACACAUUUUGAAAAGAGACUCUGUGGGUAAUAUCGUCUAUCAAUUUUAUAAAUCAAAUUAAAACUGAACGCAUUUUUUCUUCGAUUUUCCAAGAUUAAAUUGUUGUAUUAUAUAUUAAUAUUUUAUUCAUAAUGAAAUGAAAAAUUUAACAAUCAAUUGAUUUUAAUUUUAG